Molecule: transfer RNA, 72 nt
Filed under: Butyrivibrio sp.
Lineage: Bacteria; Bacillati; Bacillota; Clostridia; Lachnospirales; Lachnospiraceae
Also listed under: 1 other name
Description: tRNA-Gly
Rfam family: tRNA
About the family: Transfer RNA (tRNA) molecules are approximately 80 nucleotides in length. Their secondary structure includes four short double-helical elements and three loops (D, anti-codon, and T loops).
Source: RNAcentral
GUCGAUAUAGUGUAAUUGGCAACAUCUCUGCCUUCCAAGCAGAUAUUACGGGUUCGAGUCCCGUUAUCGACU